GUUUUAAUUCUGCUCCCAUGUUCAUGGGCUGCUACUUACUUUAAAAAAAAAGAGAUUAGAAGGUUCAGAUUUAGAGCAGCAAAUUGCUCUGCUAAUCUGCAGGCUAUGGAGCACAUCUUUCCUUCUGGAUGUUGUCAGCAAUGUUGGGAAUGUCUUCAGAGUUGGGAUUUGGACCUGGACCUCCCGCCAUCCCUGGGCGUGUUCAUCAGGCUAUGGGUGUAAUCAGGAUACAGUUUCCUCUCCAGAAGUUCACCA
Lonchura striata (white-rumped munia) is the source of this 255-nucleotide non-coding RNA. The record is from RefSeq and is a predicted model, not a curated record. NCBI's taxonomy places the organism in Eukaryota, Metazoa, Chordata, Aves, Passeriformes, Estrildidae.